UAACUUCGUGCCAGCAGCCGCGGUAAUACGAAGGGGGCUAGCGUUGCUCGGAAUUACUGGGCGUAAAGGGCGCGUAGGCGGCUUAGUCAGUCAGGCGUGAAAUUCCUGGGCUUAACCUGGGGGCUGCGCUUGAUACGGCUAGGCUUGAGGGUAGGAGAGGGUCGUGGAAUUCCCAGUGUAGAGGUGAAAUUCGUAGAUAUUGGGAAGAACACCGGUGGCGAAGGCGGCGACCUGGCCUAUUACUGACGCUGAGGCGCGACAGCGUGGGGAGCAAACAGGAUUAGAUACCCUGGUAGUCCACGCCGUAAACGAUGUGCGCUGGAUGUUGGGGCCCAUAGGGUCUCAGUGUCGUAGCUAACGCGGUAAGCGCACCGCCUGGGGAGUACGGCCGCAAGGUUGAAACUC
Molecule: ribosomal RNA, 405 nt
Filed under: uncultured bacterium
Lineage: Bacteria
Description: bacterial SSU rRNA
Rfam family: Bacterial small subunit ribosomal RNA
Source: RNAcentral